This is a non-coding RNA of Xyrichtys novacula (pearly razorfish), 4462 nucleotides long. NCBI's taxonomy places the organism in Eukaryota, Metazoa, Chordata, Actinopteri, Labriformes, Labridae. The record is from the annotation of a GenBank genome assembly.
UAGCGUUCAGAUUAACUGUUUGGGUCUGCAGGCUUUAAAGAGACAAAAAUACAGCCGAAAUAAGUAACAAGUGUUUCUCAUGGCAUGUAGUUACUUCCUACACAAGAGGACACCUUCAUGACUCAACAGACGUGAAGGAGGAAGGGGAGAAACUUCGGUGCUUACUUGAGAGCAAAGAGGCACCAAGUGACUUAGUGGAGCAGGUGUGUACAGUGUAAACUCGUGCCCACAAACCAAUAAAACUGCUUAUUGUUCACACAGGACUGCAGUCCACAUUACUCACCAAACAGCUUCCAGUACACACAGCGCUGUGUAAUGAUGUGACCCUCAAUCUUUCCAGCAGUACAAGUUGAAUUACCUUUGAAGCAGCUGUUUUAAUAAGCUUCAGAGAUGAUCAAAAAAGCCAAAACAACAAAUACACUUACCUAACACAAAAGAAAAUCUCAAACCUUCCCUGAGCACCACACUGACCUAGAAACAAGCAAACCAAACAAAAAGGCUACCGACUUCUACAUAUAAUUCCACUUUACUUUCCAUAAACAAGCCAACAAAUAUCUUAUACUGUUAUCAAGCAAACCUGCACAGAUCUAAGGUUUAAAAGACACAAAUGAUGGCCUGUUAGAAAUGGCAGCACAGAGCAGGCUGCAGCAGUUUAGAUUUCAAACCUGUGCUGAUCCUUCUCCUCCAAUCAUGAGGCUGCAAGUCUGAUGAACUGGCCAAUCAGAGGCAACAUCUGCAUCAGGAUCCAAUCAAACACACCCCAAUGGACACAACACACAGAAAACAGUAGCGAUUUAUGAAACAUAUGACACAUCACACUGUAUAUAUGAGGUUUGGUGACUUGGCCAGAACAAUGAAGUCAACAGUGUCCAACAUCUGCUUUAGAGGGCAGCAUUUACUCUCACUAGACUGAGCUAGUGUUGUGUCAUUUGCGAACGAUUUGUUCAAAAGAACUGAAUCUUUUAAGUGAAUGUACUGAACCAAAUCACUUCCUUGAGUGAUUCGUUCGUUUCUCACAUCAAUUGAGCUGAAGUGAGAAACAGGCCAGCAUUGCCAGGCCAGCAGCCAGCGAACGAGGAACUACAUGCACCAACGCCUGAAUCACUUGGUGAACGAAUCAAGCAUUGAACUACACUCUCUGGAAUCAUUUUGUCGGACAAGACUACCUUUUUUUUCACUACUAAGUUGCCACCACAACAACUUUCAUACAAUAGGACACAGCAUGUAACAAGUAGUGCAUAAAACCCGCAGCACCGUAUCAUUGCAGCGGUUUGCGAGGGAACGGUGCAUGUUCAGUGUGAAUUCUUCUAAAUGUUUAGUGAACGAAUCACUCACUGAGCCCAAUUUACCGAGAAGGUCUGAUAAACAGCAUACCAUAGGACAGUACACUCAAAACAUCAUGACUUGUAAACAUGUUCAUUUUUACAAACCUGUUUGUCAUAGCAACACAGCCAAACACUCUCGUCUCCUGGUCCUAAAAGCUAUGAAUUGAACUGAAUCCUGAACAUUCAGCUGUGUAUCAGUUCAGGAGGUUGGAGUCACAGGCUUCUCAUGCUAAAUGAUUCAGUGAUUUGGUGAACGAAUCUUUUGAAUGAAUCUUUUUAGUGAACCGAUUCUAGUGAUUCAGUACAUCUAAAAGAACUGCUGUGCCCAUUACUAGACUGAGCAUUUAUUACCUUAUUUGAUUUACAUCAGUAGACAAGUUGAAUCAAUACUUGUACUUGUUUUUUAGAAAGUAAUGUGUGGACUCCAGCACCUCUCAUGAUCACUCUUACACACAUUUACACAGAUUGUGAGAGCUGCUGUGCAACUUUGCCAACCUGCUCUCUGGGAUCUAAUCUCACUCAGUCAAACUCACACUGAUGGUGAUGCCUUUAGAUGUUCUUCACAAUCCAUCCUCUCUCCCAAGGACACAUGGACGUGAAAACUGCUGGAGCUGAAAAUCGAUUGUAUUUCACUUCAUCUCUUUGAGUGAUCACUUUGCAGCGCAGAUCACUUUUUUAUUGAGUUAUCUAUUUAACUCUUAAAGCAGGAGGAUGCAAGCUGAAGAUCUGAGGAUUAAUCAGUUUUAAAAUGUUGGACUUUGAGAGUUUAUUGUGACUUUUACGGUCUCUCUUAACUAAACAUAUUUAAUGGGACAGCCCGCCUCACUGCAGGCUUUCAAAGUCCGUUGGUGUAACAGACGAAGCACAUCGCAUCUCUGACAUAAUAUCCAGCGGUGAAUGGUACAUUGACUCCAUACACAGGAGAGUGAUAAAUACAACUUCCCUCCAAAAAAAAACAACAACAACAAGCCUUUCAAUUUUCUCCAUUUUCUCUCUCUCUGGUUUUCUUGUUUGUAUUUGAGUGAUUUGCAGUGUGGUCACGUAGCUGUCACCUGUGGCGUUUGGGGACCAUGAGAAAUACAAGCUACCUCUGGAAGCAGUUUGAUUUAGAUAUGCUGAUCCCAGUUGAAUUAGGACAGAGCAACAUUUUUCAUUUUAUUUGCACUGAUUUUAGUGAGGGGACAUGAAAACACAGGAUUCUGCUGAUCUACUUCAGGUGCAGGGUUUUUAUUCUGUUACAUAUAAAUUCAAUUAAUUUAUCAAAUACAUAUUCCUAAUUGGUUAAAAGAAAUUUAAGGCAACUCCAUUUGAUUCUAGAUCAAGACAGACUGGACUACCACCAUUUUCCAUAUGUGAGUGUCUACUUCAAAUCAACACAAGAUCCUGUUCUGCUGUUGACUGUUCCCACCUGACGUAUCUUAAGUGUUUUAUUUUGAGUUCAAAUCAGGUUUUGGUUAGACGUCACACCCGCCAGCCCGCCUCUGUGUGUGCCCUUGAAUAUCAAAGCCAUCUUUGGCGUCACAGGAAACGCUCACUAUAAAGGACCUUGUCUGUUCUGCAUACAGAUCAAUUUGUGGAUUAGGAAGCUCAAGUUGAUCUCAAUUAAGGAGAAGUCCUUCUUGUCCUCCUUGUCUUGUUACUGGAAGAGCAAUUGCCAGGAAACCAAAGAUAUGAAAGAAACCAUGUGUGACCCUGUGCGGUCAGCAAUCUGAUCUUUCUAGGAGAAAUGUAAGAAGAGAUAAAAGUCUUGACCUUGGUGUUUUUAUCUCUGACCUCUGGCUAAAGAUUUGUUGUUCGUGAAUGAUUCAUUCAAAAGAACAAAUCUUAUCAGUGAAUGUACUGAACUGAAUCACUUCCUCUGGUGAUUUGUGCGUUUCUCAGUUCAGUUGAGCUGUCAGCAAUGCAGCUGCCAUAGCACCGACAUGGGAGGGAGGGACGCUUCAAUCACUUGGUGAACGAGUCACUUAGUGAACUACACUCUCCAGGAUCAUUUUCGUCUGAGGGGUACACUUUCAUGGCGACCUUUGUUCCCUGUUUUUUUAGGAGAUUUAAUCCCCAAAUAAACAAACUUAAAAUGUAAGGCUGGCGGUAAUGAGAAGAGAGUGAGACUCACCAGCUGUAGCACGCUCUUGGCAGGGGUGACGGAGGGAGACAGGGGUGUGUUGAGAAAACCUGAACCGUUCAGCUGUGUAUCAGUUCAGGAAGUCGAAGUCGCAGGCUUCUCCCACCAAGCCCUGAAUGAUUUGGUGAUUCGGUGGUUGAAUCAUUUGAACGAAUCUUUUUAGUGAACUGAUUCUAGUGAUUCAGUACAUCUAAAUGAACUACCUCUGGCAACAACAGUGACUUGAUGGCUCCUUCCAAGCCUUAUAGGUAUACUGAAUUUUUGGUCAGAAGUUUGCUGUGUGAUUUGGUGUCAAGAUGUAACAAGAACUUCAACAAAACAUAACAAAGCAGCGAGGUUAUAGUAAGAAACAGCACUCCCUCAUUUGAGAGACACUUAGAGUCACUGUCAAAGGGAAAAAUGAGAAACCUUAUCCUGAGCAAGGAUCCAUAAAACAAGAUUUGUUGCUACAGAUUUGAUGCGGUUAAGAUACAAUGACGCCGUUUUAUCCUAAGCAUUCUGGUUUCCCAUUCCUGGUAGCUGUGAAAAAGAGACGUGCAGCCUACCUGGGAAACUUUGUAACGGCCACAGGGUAGAAUAUGAUAUAAAUUGGUGUUUUUUGAUGUUCAGUCUUUCACCAUCUCCCCUUACUACAAGGUAUCUCAACAUCUAACAGAAUGUAUUCCGCUGAUCUGAAGCCAUGCAGCAGCAGCCACAUUCAGGGGUAACAGGAGCAGCAGGAGCCAAUCACCUCGGGUGAGACGACCCUGCAUCCUCCCCAGGAUGGAGGGUGGCAGCAGACUGUUAUAUUCAACAGUGUAAUUACAGUCCUGCAUCAAUAGCCCGCUCCCCCGUGGAUUCUCCAGAGGUGCUUUUGUUUGGAGACUCCCACAUCUCUCUAAUGAUUCAGUGUUGCCCUGCAGCCUUGUUGACAUCCAUCUCAUACUGUUUCAAAAACAUCUCCCCCCUAGUCUUUACACAAAUGUCUUUAUUUCUGCUCUGCUAGAGGCAACAUUUUCUUUUUCAAGGGAAUCCU